GCAUUGAUGGCUCAGGGGUAAAAUUCUCGUUUUCCAUGCAGGAGAUCUGGGUUCGAUUCUCGGUCGAUGCA
Molecule: transfer RNA, 71 nt
Filed under: Loxodonta africana (African savanna elephant)
Lineage: Eukaryota; Metazoa; Chordata; Mammalia; Proboscidea; Elephantidae
Rfam family: tRNA
About the family: Transfer RNA (tRNA) molecules are approximately 80 nucleotides in length. Their secondary structure includes four short double-helical elements and three loops (D, anti-codon, and T loops).
Source: Rfam by way of RNAcentral